RNAcentral lists this ribosomal RNA (254 nucleotides) under uncultured bacterium. RNAcentral's name for it is "partial 16S ribosomal RNA". It matches the Rfam family "Bacterial small subunit ribosomal RNA", at positions 524 to 776 of the family's 1533-position model. The record is from RNAcentral.
CACGUAGGGGGCAAGCGUUGUCCGGAUUUAUUGGGCGUAAAGAGCUCGUAGGUGGUUCGGUAAGUCGGGUGUUAAACCCCCAGGCUCAACCUGGGGACGCCACUCGAUACUGCUGUGACUUGAGUCCGGUAGGGGAGCGUGGAAUUCCUGGUGUAGCGGUGAAAUGCGCAGAUAUCAGGAGGAACACCGGUGGCGAAGGCGCCACUCUGGGCCAGUACUGACGCUGAGGAGCGAAAGCGUGGGGAGCAAACAGG